RNAcentral lists this ribosomal RNA (253 nucleotides) under uncultured bacterium. RNAcentral describes it as "partial 16S ribosomal RNA". It matches the Rfam family "Bacterial small subunit ribosomal RNA", at positions 524 to 776 of the family's 1533-position model. The record is from RNAcentral.
GACGAACCAUGCAAACGUUAUUCGGAAUUACUGGGCUUAAAGCGUGCGUAGGCGGCUCAGAAGGUUGGGUGUGAAAUCCCUCGGCUUAACCGAGGAAUUGCGCCCAAAACUACUGGGCUCGAGGGAGUUAGAGGUGAGCGGAACUCACGGUGGAGCGGUGAAAUGCGUUGAUAUCGUGAGGAACACCGGAGGCGAAAGCGGCUCACUGGGGCUUCACUGACGCUGAGGCACGAAAGCUAGGGGAGCAAACGGG